UACGUAGGGGGCAAGCGUUGUCCGGAUUUAUUGGGCGUAAAGAGCGUGUAGGCGGCCUGAAAGGUCAGCUGUGAAAACUCGAGGCUCAACCUCGAGACGCCGGUGGAAACCAUCUAGCUAGAGUCCGGAAGAGGAGAGUGGAAUUCCUGGUGUAGCGGUGAAAUGCGCAGAUAUCAGGAAGAACACCCGUGGCGAAGGCGGCUCUCUGGUACGUGACUGACGCUGAGACGCGAAAGCGUGGGGAGCGAACAGG
RNAcentral lists this ribosomal RNA (253 nucleotides) under uncultured bacterium. RNAcentral's name for it is "partial 16S ribosomal RNA". It matches the Rfam family "Bacterial small subunit ribosomal RNA", at positions 524 to 776 of the family's 1533-position model. The record is from RNAcentral.